AGUGAACGCUGGCGGUAGGCCUAACACAUGCAAGUCGAACGGCAGCACAGUAAGAGCUUGCUCUUACGGGUGGCGAGUGGCGGACGGGUGAGGAAUACAUCGGAAUCUACUUUUUCGUGGGGGAUAACGUAGGGAAACUUACGCCAAUACCGCAUACGACCUACGGAUGAAAGCAGGGGAUCUUCGGACCUUGCGCGAUUGAAUGAGCCGAUGUCGGAUUAGUUAGUUGGCGGGGUAAAGGCCCACCAAGGCGACGAUCCGUAGCUGGUCUGAGAGGAGGAUCAGCCACACUGGAACUGAGACAGGGACCAGACUCCUACGGGAGGCAGCAGUGGGGAAUAUUGGACAAUGGGCGCAAGCCUGAUCCAGCCAUACCGCGUGGGUGAAGAAGGCCUUCGGGUUGUAAAGACCUUUUGUUGGGAAAGAAAAGCAGCAGGUUAAUACCCAGCUGUUCUGACGGUACCCAAAGAAUAAGCACCGGCUAACUUCGUG
This 492-nucleotide ribosomal RNA is filed under the name uncultured bacterium. Its description in RNAcentral is "partial 16S ribosomal RNA". It matches the Rfam family "Bacterial small subunit ribosomal RNA", at positions 29 to 507 of the family's 1533-position model. The record is from RNAcentral.